CAUUAACAAAUCAAGUUGUGUGCUGUCGCGUCUCUUCUUCUUCUCUUGAAAAAGAGGGGGGAGGGGAUGUGUACACACAAAUAAGCGCUCUGCCGCACUGAUCGUAAGAUCGGUAGGCAUUGUGUGUGGGUAGGUGGUUACGCAAGUGACCGCUUGCUCGCUGAGAGAGACCUUCGCGGGACUCUCUCUCAACAUAGACGAUUGAUUGUUUGACAGAGUUUAUUUUAUGACAAAUAAUAAAAGACAACUUUUAACAAUGGAUCUCUUGGCUCUUGCAUCGA
Molecule: unclassified non-coding RNA, 281 nt
Filed under: uncultured fungus
Lineage: Eukaryota; Fungi
Description: sequence contains ITS1
Source: RNAcentral